This 148-nucleotide signal recognition particle RNA is filed under the name Gorilla gorilla gorilla (western lowland gorilla). Its description in RNAcentral is "Metazoan signal recognition particle RNA". It matches the Rfam family "Metazoan signal recognition particle RNA". Rfam says of the family: The signal recognition particle (SRP) is a universally conserved ribonucleoprotein. It is involved in the co-translational targeting of proteins to membranes. Lineage: Eukaryota; Metazoa; Chordata; Mammalia; Primates; Hominidae. The record is from Rfam by way of RNAcentral.
GCCGGGUGUGGUGGUGUGCACCUGUAAUCCCAGCUACUCAGGAGGCUGAGGCAGGAGAAUUGCUUGAGUCCAGGAGGCGGAGGUUGCAGUGAGCCGAGAUCGUGCCACUGCACUCCAGCCUGGGUGACAGAGCAAGCCCCUGUCUCAA